GGGACAGGUCCCGCCGCUGCCUCCGUGCGCGCGCUUUGCUGGGCUGGGGAAGCCAAGGCACAGAGUAUCAGGCCCGCUGAGCAUCUCAGUUCAUCAGAGGAGCCAUUAGAGUCUUCCUCAAGACUGAAAACAUAAGUGAGAGUGUGUCUUGAAGUGCUGCAACAGAGGAUGAGGAAAAGAUUAGCAUGUGAAAUUCUACCUACCAAAUAGUGAAGCUGCAAAGUAAGGAAGACUUGAAUGGCCUUCCAUCUUCAAAGAAGUGCCUUGAGCUCUGGAAUGCAACAAAGUGGGAGAAACCACUAAACACCAGGAAAUGUCAACAAUGAGGGGGGAAUGCAUGGGCAGGUGGAUAGAGCAUUUCUAGGCAUUUUCUCAGACAAGGCAACCAAUUCAGCUCAACAAGAAAAUGGGUCUUUUUCCCACAGAAACUAAUUUAACUGAUUUUUGAAACACAUUGAUAACAGCAUUAGCAUAAAUUUAAAUACAUGCUUACCAGGCUGUUCUUUGUUAUGUUGUUAUGCAAGUGACUUGGUUGACAAAUUAAUAAUUGUGAUUACUAAAUAAGAACUAAAUUUCCAAUAAUCUGAACAUUUGGUCCUAAUAGGAAGCUUUAGGCCUUGACUUAUUAAAGCAUUAAAAAAGAUGUAAGGUCAAACUAAUUUCAGUAGCUAAAGUGUACUUAUACUUAUUUGUAGUGUAUUUGAAGCUAAACUUAAAAGAAAGGAUAAAUGUUCCCAAAUGUUUUAUGCCUAUGGUAGCAAUUGGUAGUUAAAUUUGUUCUAAGCACACAAUAUGAAAAGAGAAUAAAUAAUUAAUAAUCUAUAAUUGAUAAGAUUCAUUGUAAAUAUAAUAGGUAUUAGAUGGCAAAUUCAGCAACUAAAAAAUAGUAUUUUAUAUGCAAAUGUGAAGAGACAAACUUAUAUCUUGUAUGUUUCUUUUAACCUUAACUUUCAGGAAUAAUCAUCAUCAGUAUCUUGAUAAGUUUUCUUAGGCAAAAAGUCAAAAUGUUCUUCUAGUAAAUCUGAAUUUACUAGCUUGUUGAAUUUCCACAAGAAGCCCCCUAAUUAGGAAUUGUCAAAGGUAAAUACAUAACGUGUUGUUUAUAAAUCUUGAUAUUAUAUAUGUUAAUAUUAUUAGCUAUUAUAAAACAUAAGGCAUUCAAAAAUCAACAUCAGAUUAAUCUUAUAUGUCAAAUCCUCUAAAUGUAUAUGGCACUUAAUUUAUAAUGAAAAAAAUUUUAAAGAACAAUUUCUAUGAAUAUGUACUUACAUUUUAGAAUAUAGUCUUUUAUUUUAAAAAUAUAAUCACAAAAUAUCUUUUACUAAUUUAGCUACGAAGAAACAGUUUCAAGGAAUUGCUUUCUAUGCUGCACAAACACACACACUCUUGCACACACACAUACACAUGCCUAUUUUCAGAAUUUUCCAAAUAGCAAUUAUUUUCUUAGAUUUAUAGUCUAUAAUGCCUGGCAUUUUUGGUAUCAAAAAAAAUAUACUUUUUGUUUCCAUUUAAGUAAUUUUAGUCUAAAAACACUUGCUAAUCAUAACUACACAGCAAAGGUUUGUUAUGUAAACAUUUUACUUUAUUAUCAGCCUUUGUUUUGCAAUACAAUGCUUUAAAAAUAUCCUCUGUUGUAUAAAGGACAUUGUUGCAAAAAGGCAGCUCAAAACUUGUCCUUCCCUUCCUUUCAUUGAUCUGUUGCCUCUUAGGCAAUAUGAACAGCUGUCUCCAGCUCACCCACAAGCAAGCUGAACAUAAUAAUAAGGUAGUGUUACUGGCCUGAAUCUAUGAAUGAUUAUACAAAGGGUGCCAGCUCUUUUUCAUUAAAGAUAAGGUAACAAAGAUAACAUAGAGAAGAAAACUGGUUAGCAAAGCAAGCAUGUGCUUCUGCCUUGAAGAUUUAGUUAUUCCUCUGGUAACCACUGAGUUUCUCUUUCAUUGGGUUUCCAAUAAGGUGAAGGUGCCCUCUGUAGGAGACUCCCAGUAAAUGCCGCUUUUUUAUAUUUGGGUGACAAAAGGCAAGUUCUGCCCCCCACCUCCAAUUUGCAAAUAAACAAAUAAAUAAUCACAGAACUCUGUGUGAGCAGAAGCUUGAACUCUAUGAAUCUUAGAGAGAAAUUAGUAUAAAUCCCACAAUGAUCUAUGUAAAUGCGGUUGCUUGUUCAAAAUGGGAGAAAUGGAACAGUGAGCAAGCUGUACAGCAUGUUGGUGUUUAAUAUUUAUUGACACUGUGAUAUGUUAUAGGAUCAGCUUUAUAAAUUCAGAGGUGAGGCAAAAAGAGAAACAUAGAUGGUCUUUGGCGUAGUUGAGUGAAAAAUGGAUCUAAACAGAAAAAUCCACAUACAGAGAGACACAUUCACCACCUAAUAAAUAUACCUCCCCAAAAGGCCUUCUUAUCUUCCCUUCUUAUAAAGGUUACCAUAAUGCAGAUUCAUUAUCAGUCCCACUGGGUAGCAUAUAGCUCAGUAAGAAAUUGCUUUUGUUAGCAUGCUCAUAGAAAGAGAUUAGCUAUUUCAUCAGAUCUCUUGGGGCUAUUUGAAAUUUUGGGAAUUCUGUCUGUAAUUUAAAAUGGAAGUUAAAGCCAAUGCGAAUAGACUAGGGAAAAUCUCACAAAUUAAACCUCUCCAUCUGGAAGUUUCUUCAUCACUCAUUGCAAAAGUACAAGCUGAAAUCGCAUUUGUUACAGGCAGGAGAGAGAUUUCAUCACUGAUGAUGCAAUUACAAUUAUACUAAUGUUUUAAUAAUUAAUAUUUUGGUUGCAAAGAAACAUUUAAUAUGGAAAUGAUAAACAGUGUUUUGGAUUUUUUUUGUCUUUAUUAACUUUGCAUAUUAGUUAGAUUUUAUCACUGAAAUCAUCUCUUAUGUACGUUAUUUAAACUAUGACUUUAGCCUCUAUGGAAUGUGUGCAGGAGAGUCUAGAAUCACCUGUAUUACAAGUUAGGGGAUGAACAAGUGGGCAUGGAGGCAUAAGAGAAGAGGGAUUAUUUGCAUCCUCUUACCUAUCAGAAUUCAUUUAUCCUCAGUAUCUGCUCAAACAAACAUCCCCUUCUUUGUCAAUCCAUUUUCCCAUAUCAUUGGCCACUUAACCUCAACAACAACAUUUUAGAUUACUAUGUACCAAGCACUGUGUGAGCACUGUCCUAGAUAGUUUAUGUGGAUUAUCUCAUUUAAUCCUCAUAAUACAUAAGAAAGGCAAUUUUUCUUAUCCCAGUACGAAAAAGAGGCAUCUAAAGUUUGGCUGAUUACAUUACUUGCCCAAGCCUACUCCACAGCCUGCUUUCUUUUCCCCAGGGAUACCACUCCCUUCUGACCUCACUUAUUUUCUCACCUGAUUGUUUUUCACAUGUUCAGUUUAUUUGUGCUCCUGUCUUCCUAAUACAACUGCCUAGUGAAUUCCCAGCCAGCAGUGACACAGCUAUCUGCCAUGCUACUUAUGACUGAGCAUUGCUAAAGACUCUCCCACAGUUAUGCAGAAUUGUAUCCUUAAUUACUUACGACUCUUAGUUGCAAGCUUUAAAAUUUAAGCUAGUUUAUCUUGAAAGGGGCUGAAUAAGCUCACGUCAUCACAUCAAUAGAAGUCAGGGCUCCAGUUGGUCUCAGAGAUGAUUUUGAUCGGAGAGUCAAAUGUUUCCUCACAUCAUCUCUAAUUUCUGAAGACAUGUUUGUCAGGGUAUCUUCUUCAGUUCAUCAGUUUAGGUUCUACACAACUGGAUUCAUGGUUUCUAAGAGGAAUCAUGCACACUGCUUCUAAUUCCAGCACCCAAGGACACAAAUCCAAGGAAAAACUCUUAUUGGGUCACCUUGGAACAGGUGCAUAUUUCUGGAUGAAGAAAUUCAUCAAGGGCAUUAUCGGGUAGUGGUUAAGAAUGUGUGGAAUGCCGCUGGGUGUGGUGGCUCACACCUGUAAUCCCAACACUUUGGGAGGUUGAGGCGGGUGGAUCACGAGAUCAGGAG
Cebus imitator (Panamanian white-faced capuchin) is the source of this 3954-nucleotide long non-coding RNA. RefSeq lists it as uncharacterized. The transcript is spliced from 3 exons. The record is from RefSeq and is a predicted model, not a curated record. Lineage: Eukaryota; Metazoa; Chordata; Mammalia; Primates; Cebidae.